CUGAGAUUGCAAUCCUCAGUAAAGCCUCCCAGAACCAGCCAGUACUAAUCUAUCUAGAUUUAUCAGGGGCAACGCUGCUCGCCAGUCAUGGAGAAUAAUAUUCAAAGAUUAACUGGGACAUGUAGAAUCCCAGGUACCAAGUUGAGGGACCAUCAGACUCAGGAAGCAGCACAGGACACAUUCUCAGAUUUGGUAUGCAGACUGUUCCAGAAUGUAUCUUACAGUGCCUACUUCUGUGAUUCUGCCCCUGCCAAGGCCUUGUCUCUGAUGUCCUGCCAGAGUACUCUCUGGGCCAACCUCAAGCCUGACCUCUUGCCUGUAGAUGGAUAGUAACCACAGUAACACCAGCAUCAAGGGACAUACAAGAUGAAGACACACCUUUUACUAGAAGCGUGUUCCACGCUCCACCCUACCCCUGCACUAAGCAGGCAAAGGGCCUGGGCAUUUUUACAAUGGCCAAGAAAGAUGGAAGACACAUCCUGAUUGCUAACAAAAGUGGGAACCAGCAGCACAAACUCACCCCUUGCUGAGUAUCAGUAAUAGCCACCCUUUCAUCCUUAGCCCAGUUUUAGAAAUGGCAAUCAUAAAGGUCUUUCCUGGCUAAGAGAGGGCUGCCUGCUGCAGAGGAUAAGGAGAGAUACAAAGUGCCAGCAACUCAACAAGAUGAAAUAGCUUCCAUCUGCUAUCCAGGGUAUGCACAUGUUCAUGGGAUGGAGGGGCAGAAAGGGUGAUAUACUUUCAAGGAAUUGGGGCAGGGCACAUGCCACCAAAGGAGAGAUCCUGAUGAAGUCUUCCUCCCAGUUAGUGAUUCUCUGCUUUGUAUGUGACAUGGAAAGCUAAGUCAUGAAGGUCCCAGAGCUGCAUGGUGAUUCCUGCCACUGUACCCUAUUCUCCUGGGAUGGGCCCACAGCCCCCACUAGCAAGCGGGCCAUCCUCUAGGCUAGACCAGAACCUGCUCUCUUUGCCCCAACCUCAAUGGAACCCUCACCUUCCUACAUAGUAGGGGUUUGUGCAUUUAGUUCAUUUCACAUUUUGGAAGGUUUUGUGAGUCUCUAAUUUUUUGUCUCUGGCUAAUCUAAGAGAAAAAUGAUUCUGAGAAAGAGAACCAGGAAAAUACCAGAUCUACAAGUAAAAAUCCUUUUCUCCACAGUUUCCAGAACUCAACCCUUGGACCCUCCCUAGGUGGGAUUUUCAGGAGCCACAGCCCUGGAGGCUGUAACCAAAACAAAUGGAAUCUGUCAGAAAUAUCCAGGGAACUGGAAAAGAGCAAUUAGAAGGAGAAGCAGAAGCCUUUACUAUGCUUUCCAGCCCCUGGAGCCAAGUCUGUGAGGCCAGCAACAGUUUAAUUUUGUUGCCAGUGAUCAGAAGUGGACUGCUCUGGGGUCCAGUAUUCUUGGGUCAGCUCUGGAGAGGAUUCUGAGUGUGGGAAGUUUCCCAAUUAUAAAUGCCACAAAAGGGACAAGUGGAAUGAUGAGCAAUACUGGCCAACUCAUUAGUUAUUCUUUUAAGGUGUUUUUUGUUUGUUGUAGUAUCUGAUUUGCAGGACACCCCAGGGUGUACUGGCUCCCACUCCUGGCCAGACCCGGUGUCUAACAAUGAGUAAGCAGCUGGCUCACCAUCUGUGGUGGUGGGGGCCAGCAGGGCAACGUUGUCUCUCCUGAGAGCAGCAAGCACUGUAGAGGCACCCCCAGGCCCAAAGCUCCCCAGCCUCAUUGAACAUGAUCGGUUUAAGGCAACUUGACAAGAUUCCCAUUGUCCUGGAUAAUGGCAGGAUUUGGCAGCCCUUUCAACUAUAUACCAGCUGCCUAACAUGAAUACUUUUGACAGGUCUACUUUCCAAGUUCACCCCAAGACUUAAAGCUUAGGGUCUUUCUCUCCCACAUACCACCCCCGCACCCCCAGGCUUUAACUAAACUAUAUCUGUUGUAUGGAAGCAUUUCUCCUAUCUUCCUUUAGGGAGAUGAAGUCAUGGUUUAUAGCAUUAGACUUCUAACAGCUAACAGGUGAUGAGCAGAAGCUUCGCCAAAUUCCAAACACAAACCUUGCAACAGGAAAGAUUCUGGGAUUUUACAGACCUGUUUGAAGCAUCUCAUCUAACAAAGGAAAGAUUGAAAAGAACAACCAGAAAUCAAAGAAAGCCAAUGUUCAUGUAAUCCCAAGGUGAAAAGAGAUAUUUGCUACAAAGCCAGAAACACGAUAAGGAAUCUGUUUGUUGUAUUUCUUUCAAAUCUCCCAUCCUUCCAUCAGCAGUUCACUGGGUUCAGAGCUAUUUUACACCAUUUCUGAAGACCUUAACCCAAUCAACCCCAAUGGCAGGGCGUCUGUUAAGAGCUUCCUGCAUCCUGACCACACCACAGCCUCUUUAAUUCCCUAGUUGACCCCAAGUGUUUGCAGCUCAGAAUCACCCCCACCUUUCCACAGGGUGACAGGGAAUGACACUGCAGAACUAUCAACCAAACUCUAGGCCACAGUGAAGUUCCCCAAUCUGCCUAUCCCAGGGGCUUCAAAAGAAUUAAGCAUUCUACAGAGAAAGUAAAGCUUAUGGCAGUGAUGAAAGAAAAUAUUUCCUUUAUCAAAUACAAAGUAUUUUGUUCAUGAACCACUCUUCUACUUCACCAGAGAUGGUUCAGAGUCUGACAAGCUUUUUCCUUGCUGUCAAGUCUAAGAGUCAAGGAUCUCAGAGGCAGCAUCUGGUCCAGUCUCCCACCUUCCCACAGUUUUCCAAUAAGCCAGAAACACAGCUUAACUUGGGAAUUUCUAAAGUAAGUUCUAGAGGAUGCUGUCUUCCAUGUUUAACAAUAAACAAAAAAGACAUUUUAUACCAUACACAUUAACAAGAUGGGCAUAUUGUGAUUGCUGGCAAAUAUUACCUUGCUCUAACCCAUCAACCCAGCCCUAUGCCUGAAGAGCUCCCCAUCAGGCAGGCUUGCCUGUCUGCAGUGGAGGCAGCAAGCAUGCACACUGCUUAGAGCUGCGGUUAGCUGUCAGCACUGGGUUGAUGACCCAGCUCCUGCACUUUGCUGUGAGACAAGGCUCUGUUUCCCAUUCUAUAAAGUAGGGUUUGAGGUUACCUCUCAGGCUUGUGAGGUUUAAUGAGUUACCAUUGAAUUGAAAACUUGAUAAAUACAAGCUAUUUUUACUGAGGCUACAACUAUACUAUUACAAAAUAAAAAGUGCAGCAGACUUGAUUACUAGGGAAAGAAAACAAUACUUCCCCCUUAGCCCUAUUUCCUCUACCUAAAUAACUGGAUAGAGGGAUGUAUGUAAGAGGCAAAAGAGGAGAAAAGCAACAAAAAAACCUGGUGUUUCCUCCCCCGAUAGUUUAUUCUUUGCUGUUACACUUAACAGUUUACAUAUGUUUAAAAAAUGCACUUGAACUUGAUUAACCUCAGUGCUGCCAGACCUGCCUUGAUGGAACACAGCACCCAGAGCGGCCCCACAGGCAGUCUCUGCCUUGGGAUAGGGUCUGGGUCUUUUGUCUGACCCCAAUAGGAGAAAAAGGACCAGAGCCUUCUGCUGAGGCAGCAGAAGUUCAGGCCUGAGGCGGGAAGGGGGUGGAGGGAGCUGCCUGAGAAAGGCCCCCAAACCUGUUCUAACCCCUGGCCUGGCUGGCAGCUGGGUAGGGCCUUCUGCACCACCAAACACUGCUUUCAAGGACUCUAAAUUAACGUACAAGGAAAUGGUUAAUGUGUAUGUUUGUUUUAAUAUGAAAAACCACAGCCAUUUGUUCUUAAUUCAUCUCAGGAUGGGGUGAACAAUCA
This 3761-nucleotide long non-coding RNA is filed under the name Ictidomys tridecemlineatus (thirteen-lined ground squirrel). RNAcentral's name for it is "lncRNA (ENSSTOG00000034213.1)". The record is from RNAcentral. Lineage: Eukaryota; Metazoa; Chordata; Mammalia; Rodentia; Sciuridae.